AGUGUGAUUAGGGGAUCCCAGUGCUCAUKCUUUGCAUGGGCUUUUGCCAAGAGUAAAUAYCUUGGCGAAUAAGUGGUGGGWAAGACUGGUGCCAGCCGCCGCGGUAACACCAGCGCCACGAGUGGGAAUCMUGUUUUAUUGGGCCUAAAGCGUCCGUAGCCGGCUARGUAAAUCUUUUGUGAAAUCGUCGGGCUUAACCUGACGGCGUGCMGAAGACACUGSUGUACUUCGAGACCGGGAGGAGCUCAGAGGUAUUCCAGGGGGAGCGGUAAAAUGUUAGAUAAWCCCUGGAGGACUACCUGUGGCGAAGGCGUCUGACUAKAACGGAUCUGACGGUGAGGGACGAAAGCYAGGGGAGCGAUCCGGAUUAGAUACCCGAGUAGUCCUGGCCGUAAACGCUGUGAGCUAGGUGUUGCAUAUUCUACSAGUAUGUGCAGUGUCGAAGCGAAGGUGAUAAGCUCACCGCCUGGGAAGUACGU
Molecule: ribosomal RNA, 479 nt
Filed under: uncultured archaeon
Lineage: Archaea
Description: partial 16S ribosomal RNA
Rfam family: Archaeal small subunit ribosomal RNA
Source: RNAcentral